CUACGAGUCGCAGCAGUGGGGAAUAUUGCACAAUGGACGAAAGUCUGAUGCAGCAACGCCGCGUGGAGGAUGACACAUUUCGGUGCGUAAACUCCUUUUAUAUGGGAAGAUAAUGACGGUACUAUAUGAAUAAGCACCGGCUAACUCCGUGCCAGCAGCCGCGGUAAUACGGAGGGUGCAAGCGUUACUCGGAAUCACUGGGCGUAAAGAGCGUGUAGGCGGGUAGUUAAGUCAGAAGUGAAAUCCAAUAGCUCAACUAUUGAACUGCUUUUGAAACUGAUUACCUAGAAUAUGGGAGAGGUAGAUGGAAUUUCUGGUGUAGGGGUAAAAUCCGUAGAGAUCAGAAGGAAUACCGAUUGCGAAGGCGAUCUACUGGAACAUUAUUGACGCUGAGACGCGAAAGCGUGGGGAGCAAACAGGAUUAGAUACCCCCGUAGUC
This 439-nucleotide ribosomal RNA is filed under the name uncultured bacterium. RNAcentral's name for it is "partial 16S ribosomal RNA". It matches the Rfam family "Bacterial small subunit ribosomal RNA", at positions 339 to 795 of the family's 1533-position model. The record is from RNAcentral.